This 278-nucleotide ribosomal RNA is filed under the name uncultured bacterium. Its description in RNAcentral is "partial 16S ribosomal RNA". It matches the Rfam family "Bacterial small subunit ribosomal RNA", at positions 28 to 334 of the family's 1533-position model. The record is from RNAcentral.
GACGAACGCUGGCGGCAUGCUUAACACAUGCAAGUCGAACGAGACCUUCGGGUCUAGUGGCGCACGGGUGCGUAACGCGUGGGGAUCUACCAUAGGGUACGGAAUAACUCAGAGAAAUUUGUGCUAAUACCGUAUAAUGUCGCAAGACCAAAGAUUUAUCGCCCUUUGAUGAACCCGCGUAAGAUUAGCUAGUAGGUGGGGUAACGGCUCACCUAGGCGACGAUCCCUAGCUGGUCUGAGAGGAUGACCAGCCACACUGGAACUGAGACACGGUCCAG